Molecule: ribosomal RNA, 119 nt
Filed under: Pteropus alecto (black flying fox)
Lineage: Eukaryota; Metazoa; Chordata; Mammalia; Chiroptera; Pteropodidae
Source: RNAcentral
AUCUACGACCAUGCUGCCCUGAACAAGCCUGAUCCCAUCUGAUCUCAGAAGCUAAGCUGGGCCAGGCCUGGUUAGUACUUGGAUAGGAGGCCACCUAGGAAGACCAGGUGCUGUAGGCG